Molecule: ribosomal RNA, 62 nt
Filed under: Colletotrichum gloeosporioides
Lineage: Eukaryota; Fungi; Ascomycota; Sordariomycetes; Glomerellales; Glomerellaceae
Also listed under: 1 other name
Description: partial 28S ribosomal RNA
Rfam family: Eukaryotic large subunit ribosomal RNA
Source: RNAcentral
GGUUGACCUCGGGAUCAGGUAGGAAUACCCGCUGAACUUAAGCAUAUCAAUAAGCGGAGGAA